CGUCAACUGUUUACGCAGUCGUUUAGCUAGCUACACAGACGAUUGUUAAAUUAAAUCCACGAACAAAACAUAAAAGACAGUUUCGCCUGUGAAAACAUUUAGAAUGAAUACUGGAUGAUUCAACCUAUCCUGGUUUCAUUUUGUGAUAGUGUGUCUGCUAUACAGGUCAGUGUUUGUUGGACGCGGGAGGGGUGUCGGCUGGCUGGCACUAACUUGCGCAGCUAUGAAGAGAAAUCCAGCACAGUCCUGAGAGAGGAGGGAAACUCCAGCAUUUCUUCACUUCACAGAACAAAAAUAAGGAGGAGAAAGGACAGUGGAAAAGGAAAACCCUGGGAACGAGGAAAGGCUGUUUUGGAGGGAGAAAGACAGAGAAAAGAAUGCUUCAGAAUGUGAAAUAACCUGGAGGACAUUAUUCUACUACAGUUCGACUAAUGGGUCUGGGAUUCUAAUGUGGCAUUUCAGGCUCUGGGAUGUACAAGAUGUUGCUGUGUUUCUCAGCAUCGCACUUUAUAUGUGUCACCUAGCUGGAGCCAUCUCCAUCCAUUCUCCCCAGAAGAGCCUCACCAGGUCAGUGCAGGAGGAUGUGUUUUUCUCGGUGGAUAUUACCUGCGAUGGGAUCCCCACCAUACAAUGGACCUUUAUGUCAGGAGCGGUGAGCCGCACCAUAGGGACAUGGCAGCCGGGGUUGUACACUAACAUAACGGUGGAUUACAGUAGCAGAGUGCAGCACUUCAACAAUGGCUCUAUGGGCCUGUCAGACCUGCGCCUGGCAGAUGCUGGAUACUACCAGGUCACUGUCACAGAAACAGCAGGAAGCAGCAAGGAUGCUGGCUUUGUCCUGAAAGUGAACGAGGUGCUGUAUGAGGACCUUCAGUACCUGUCUGUCUCUGCCUUGGCACUGGCCUGUUUGACUGGCCUUCUCAUGCUGGUAAUGUGGCUACUGGACAAGGUCUACAGGAAGAUCGUGGCAUGGAAACGCAGGAAAGAGAUGCCAGAAAAUGAUGCAACAGAGCUGCAGCCUCUUUGAUGGACGUCUAACUGUGCAUCAUACCAGGGAUGAAAACACACCAGAGACUGUUCAUCAAACUCUGCAACAAGGACUAGUUUUUUUAAAUCAAUCAUCAGAACUUGAAUCAAGCUUUGGAAAAACUUUUAGAAUUAUGCAGCAGGUAGUCCGUCUCAGACUUUAGAUGAAGUGAUAAUAGAUGGAGAAACAAAUUACUACUUUUCAGGUCUUGAGAUUAACGUUUUCAAAAAGCAACAACUCAAAAAAACAAAGGACUGUUGAUUUUAAAAAAGUGAUUCCAUAGGAUUGUGAUAUUUUAAACCUGUUGGAUGGUAGAACUAAAACCUCACUCAUCAUGGAUCUUGCUUAAACCUGAUGAAUCAGACUAAAAGAAAAACGCUGUUGCUGUGAUGAGGAUAACACAAGGCUACAAAAAUGCAUUCCUAAUAAGAAAACAUUGAAGUGUUUACCAGACGUCCUUAGAAAACAUCAUUCAAUUCAUAGCUUUAUUCUUAUGAUGACAUGACAAAUCAGCACAAAUACAUAAUGACAGGCUGUUUUUUUUAUUUUGUAUCAAACUGUUUUGAGGUAUACAUACACUCCAAACCUAUCAAAGACAGAGCAGUCAACAGACACUACUGGAGGUUGAAAGGAGUUUAUGGCCGUGUUCAGAAAGUCUAUGAGUUGGGAAAAAGUGUACACGAAGUAAAAGUCACAUUUUGUACAAAUGAUGACGCCGAGGCUGUAUCUAAGGACAGGGAGUCAGUGCAGCCAUGAGGAGCUCCAUCUUGUAGACAAAGUUUCGUCCCUCCAUCUUGCUCCAGUGGACCUCUUUGCAUGGCCCUCUGAGGUGACACCACUUGGCGUCCUGGAUGACAUCGCUCUUUGGCAGAUCUUUGAUCUGGCUGCGGGAGAACUGGACCAAAACUUUGCACCCGCUUUCUGGGCCGUUACGCACUGAAUAGACGAACAGAUACAGACACUGUAUUAGUGACUAAAAUAUGUUAAUAAUAUUCUUGGUAAUUUCAGGUUAUGAGGAUAUUCAGUAUUACUUUGUUUUUAACUGCCUUGAAAUACUCUGUAA
Micropterus dolomieu (smallmouth bass) is the source of this 2090-nucleotide RNA transcript. It is a transcript of the gene named V-set and transmembrane domain-containing protein 5, with no coding region annotated. The record is from RefSeq and is a predicted model, not a curated record. NCBI's taxonomy places the organism in Eukaryota, Metazoa, Chordata, Actinopteri, Centrarchiformes, Centrarchidae. The transcript has 7 exons.